This 645-nucleotide ribosomal RNA is filed under the name Tiniocellus sp. BMNH676999. Its description in RNAcentral is "eukaryotic LSU rRNA". It matches the Rfam family "Eukaryotic large subunit ribosomal RNA", at positions 663 to 1265 of the family's 3401-position model. The record is from RNAcentral. Lineage: Eukaryota; Metazoa; Arthropoda; Insecta; Coleoptera; Scarabaeidae.
GGACCAAGGAGUCUAGCAUGUGCGCGAGUCAUUGGGACUCUAAUAAACCUAAAGGCGCAAUGAAAGUAAAAGUCCGCCUUGCGCGGACCGAGGGAGGAUGGGAUCGUUUUACGACGAACCCCGCACUCCCGGGGCGUCUCAUUCUCAUCGCGAGAAGAGGCGCACCCAGAGCGUACACGCUGGGACCCGAAAGAUGGUGAACUAUGCCUGGUCAGGACGAAGUCAGGGGAAACCCUGAUGGAGGUCCGUAGCGAUUCUGACGUGCAAAUCGAUCGUCGGAACUGGGUAUAGGGGCGAAAGACUAAUCGAACCUUCUAGUAGCUGGUUCCCUCCGAAGUUUCCCUCAGGAUAGCUGGCGCUCGCAUUGCGAGUCUCAUUCGGUAAAGCGAAUGAUUAGAGGCAUUGGGGUCGAAACGGCCUCAACCUAUUCUCAAACUUUAAAUGGGUGAGAUCUCCGGCUUGCUUAAAUAGUGAAGCCGCGAGAUAUUCGGAUCAAUGAGUGCCAAGUGGGCCACUUUUGGUAAGCAGAACUGGCGCUGUGGGAUGAACCAAACGCCGAGUUAAAGCGCCAAAAUCGACGCUUAUGGGAUACCAUGAAAGGCGUUGGUAACUUAAGACAGCAGGACGGUGGCCAUGGAAGUCGGA